AUUACUUUGGCAGAAUAGUGUUUUAAAUUUAGAAUUUAAUUAAGUAUAAAUAAAUUUAUACAAGUAAUA
RNAcentral lists this transfer RNA (69 nucleotides) under Milichus apicalis. RNAcentral's name for it is "tRNA-Leu". The record is from RNAcentral. Lineage: Eukaryota; Metazoa; Arthropoda; Insecta; Coleoptera; Scarabaeidae.